AUGCUGAACUCUCGCUCAGCCAUGGAGAAGGCGUGCUCCAAGUUACGACGGGGGUCAUCGGCAUGGAGACGGCGGUAAUCAAACAAAUCAACAGAGCCUCCUUCGCCGAGCGAUGAGCCACACUACCUCCUCCACCAGCCUGAGGAGAGAGUGAGAGGAGAAGAGGGAAGGAAAUGAGGAGAGGAGAGGAGAGGAGAGGAAGGCAGGAAAGAAAGGAAGGAAGGAUGGAAGGACAGAAGAAAGGAAGGAAAAGCACAGUUAGAACAACAAAGAAAGAAUAGCCACAAGGAAUGGUGUGGGUUUAAUUCCCUACCUCGUCCAGGUUGAUGGGUCCGAUCUGGAACCUGAGGAUGAUGAUCCAAAGCAGACCGAGAAUCAGCGUGCGGUCUCCGUCCACCACAUUCUCUGGACCAAUCAGAUCCACCCGAAUCUGAAAGAAAAGAUCCGGAGGGGGUUGAGAAAGAUUUACAUUUUCUGGACUCUGAAUGACAUGUGGGAGCCGUCUUUGGACUUGGACAGGUGAGUUACCAUGGUUUUAAUGCAUCAGAGUGACUUGGAAAGACAGUGGACUCUCAGUUUGCGGCGGCUGGGCGGCGGCAGCUUCUCUCUGGAGAUGAACUCCAGCAGACGAAUCAGAACGACUCCGGUC
Labrus mixtus (cuckoo wrasse) is the source of this 649-nucleotide long non-coding RNA. RefSeq lists it as uncharacterized. The transcript has 3 exons. Lineage: Eukaryota; Metazoa; Chordata; Actinopteri; Labriformes; Labridae. The record is from RefSeq and is a predicted model, not a curated record.